RNAcentral lists this ribosomal RNA (496 nucleotides) under uncultured bacterium. RNAcentral describes it as "partial 16S ribosomal RNA". It matches the Rfam family "Bacterial small subunit ribosomal RNA", at positions 29 to 507 of the family's 1533-position model. The record is from RNAcentral.
AUGAACGCUGGCGGCGUGCCUAAUACAUGCAAGUCGAGCGAACGGACGAGAAGCUUGCUUCUCUGAUGUUAGCGGCGGACGGGUGAGUAACACGUGGAUAACCUACCUAUAAGACUGGGAUAACUUCGGUAAACCGUAGCUAAUACCGGAUAAUAUUUUGAACCGCAUGGUUCAAAAGUGAAAGACGGUCUUGCUGUCACUUAUAGAUGGAUCCGCGCUGCAUUAGCUAGUUGGUAAGGUAACGGCUUACCAAGGCAACGAUGCAUAGCCGACCUGAGAGGGUGAACGGCCACACUGGAACUGAGACACGGUCCAGACUCCUACGGGAGGCAGCAGUAGGGAAUCUUCCGCAAUGGGCGAAAGCCUGACGGAGCAACGCCGCGUGAGUGAUGAAGGUCUUCGGAUCGUAAAACUCUGUUAUUAGGGAAGAACAUAUGUGUAAGUAACUGUGCACAUCUUGACGGUACCUAAUCAGAAAGCCACGGCUAACUACGUG